This 1106-nucleotide long non-coding RNA is filed under the name Anas platyrhynchos platyrhynchos (common mallard). RNAcentral's name for it is "lncRNA (ENSAPLG00000029379.1)". Lineage: Eukaryota; Metazoa; Chordata; Aves; Anseriformes; Anatidae. The record is from RNAcentral.
UGCCGCAUCAUUCUGGGGCUAGGGUGGCUUUGCACAAGCCUUGCCUUUGAGGUACCACAGAGCAGCAUCACCCCAGGGCAGAAGCUGUGCCUCCAAAAGGCCCAAUUCUCACUCUGUUCAUUCUUGUCAAAGGCAACGGUAUGAUUCUGUCGCCCUGCAUGCCAGCCAGUCACCUCUAUGAAGUAUUUGGAUACAUGUUUCCAGGUGCAGAAGAGUCAGCCUGAGUGUGCCAAGCUGAACAGACGUGCCAAAGGGUGUUAAACCCCUUGCCAUACAUGCACAAGGAGGUUUCCUGCAAGUACCUCGUGCAGAGGAGAGCAAACCCGGGAGCACACCCUGAUCCAGGCAAUGAUCCCAUACAGGUGCUGUCAGAGCCUAGACAUUUCAGUGUGACACAAACCACCUCAGAUUAUUAGCUCCUAUAAUUUGUAAUGCUUGUAACAAAUCUCUCCAUUCCUUUUGAUCUGUAUAUGAGAUCCUUUUUGUCCUUAACAGAGAAAGAACCACCUUGCUUCCCUCAAAGCUAUGCUGGAGGCCACCAGGUUAAUUCCAUGCUAUAUGCAUGGAUAAAAAGGAGGAUAAGAAGAAAGAGCAGGUCAUGAAGUGGCAAAGGUUGAGAAGCCCGGCUUUAAACACUUUAUGGGAAAUUGUAAAACUUCUAAACAAUUUAAUAGAUUAACUUCCCCCUUCAGUGGCAUCAGUAAAACUGAAUUAUCAUCCUCACUUUUAACUGAUGCCUAGACCCAAUACUCAUCCAUCAGGGAUCAUUUAGUGAUAAAGCAAUCAAUCCUGCCAUGGUGCAGAGGGGACAAACUAUGCAAGAUACCAUCACCAAAUAUCCUUUCCACCCCAAAGCAUUCUGUGAGUCUUUGUCAAUGAAAGUGCAUUUGUCUAGUCUUAUCUGUUGCAGUAUACGUGGAAUACAAAGGAAGAAAGUAAAAUAUGCAUUUGAUGUACAUGUGCAGAUGCCAGACGUACAAUCAAACCAAAGAGGACUGCCUUUUUCCGAGGAACUGAACACAACACCUGAAAACCAACAACUGCACCACUACCUCAGAAGAAUGCAAUGUGUGUUUUAUACCAAAGUCAUAUUAUUUUCCCUGUAA